CCUACGGGAGGCAGCAGUGGGGAAUAUUGCGCAAUGGGCGAAAGCCUGACGCAGCGACGCCGCGUGAGGGAGGAAGGUCUUCGGAACGUAAACCUCUGUCAGCAGGGAAGAACGGUCACUGUGCUAAUCAGCGGUGAAUUGACGGUACCUGCAAAGGAAGCACAGGCUAACUCCGUGCCAGAAGCCGCGGUAAUACGGCGGGUGCGAGCGUUAAUCGGAAUUACUGGGAGUAAAGCGCGCGUAGGCGGUAUGUCAAGUCAAGGGUGAAAUCCCCGCGCUCAACGUGGGAACUGCCUUUGAAACUGGCAAACUUGAGUGUGUGAGAGGAUAGUGGAAUUCCAGGUGUAGGAGUGAAAUCCGUAGAUAUCUGGAGGAACAUCAGUGGCGAAGGCGACUAUCUGGCACAUCACUGACGCUGAGGAGCGAAAGCGUGGGUAGCAAACAGGAUUAGAUACCCUUGUAGUC
Molecule: ribosomal RNA, 465 nt
Filed under: uncultured bacterium
Lineage: Bacteria
Description: partial 16S ribosomal RNA
Rfam family: Bacterial small subunit ribosomal RNA
Source: RNAcentral